This 158-nucleotide ribosomal RNA is filed under the name uncultured bacterium. RNAcentral describes it as "partial 16S ribosomal RNA". It matches the Rfam family "Bacterial small subunit ribosomal RNA", at positions 355 to 509 of the family's 1533-position model. The record is from RNAcentral.
UGAGGAAUAUUGGUCAAUGGGCGGGAGCCUGAACCAGCCAAGUCGCGUGAGGGAAGACGGUCCUAUGGAUUGUAAACCUCUUUAGGCGGGGAGCAAUGCCGGGCACGCGUGCCCGGAGGGAGAGUACCCGCAGAAUAAGCAUCGGCUAACUCCGUGCC